Long non-coding RNA from Quercus lobata, 644 nucleotides. RefSeq lists it as uncharacterized. The transcript is spliced from 3 exons. The record is from RefSeq and is a predicted model, not a curated record. NCBI's taxonomy places the organism in Eukaryota, Viridiplantae, Streptophyta, Magnoliopsida, Fagales, Fagaceae.
CUUUUUUCUCUCUCACCUCACCGUCUCGCGUGCUCUCUCUACUUCUCUACUGCAUUCUUUUAAUUUUGCUCCUCCUCAUCGUUCUUGGCCAAUUUUCACCUCAUCUUCAUACAAAUCUCAGUGAGAAAAAGGAGGUAAGGAGCCUUGCAGCUUUGGGUGUUAUUUAUGUAGUUAAACACACAUGGCACUAGAAGAUUGAGAUUGCAAAAAGUAAGAGAUCCAUGUUCUACUAGGAUACAUAGCCUAUGAUCUACUUCUUCCAAAAGCUAUGAUCUCUUCUCUCCGAGGGCUGAAACUGUUCAAUGGGUAAUUUAAGGAGGAGGAAAGGUAGUGGAUGAUCCUGUGAAACAAAAUAUGCACUUUACAUUCUCUACACAUGUAGAUGGACAAUGAAGCCAGUCAUCAACCAAAGCUGGAAGGUUUAAGGACAAGGUGGACGCCAUCCAUCGACAAGAUAUUUACAGACUUGGUUGUUAAGUAUAUACAACUUUUGAAAGAGCAAAUUAGUUUUAGUUGUUGAGAAAAUGUAGCUACAGUGUAUGGAUUCUAAUGUGAUAUUAUAGAAUUUUUAGCCAAAACAAAGUUAUUAGCAAAACUUGAUUCUAUGGCGAAACUUGAUUCAGUGGUGAAACUUAAUUCAUUCA